UAGGGAAUCUUCCGCAAUGGACGCAAGUCUGACGGAGCAACGCCGCGUGAGUGAAGAAGGAUUUCGGUUCGUAAAACUCUGUUGUUAGAGAAGAACAGCGCAUAGAGUAACUGUUAUGCGUGUGACGGUAUCUAACCAGAAAGCCACGGCUAACUACGUGCCAGCAGCCGCGGUAAUACGUAGGUGGCUAGCGUUGUCCGGAUUUAUUGGGCGUAAAGCGAGCGCAGGCGGUCAAUUAAGUCUGAUGUGAAAGCCCCCGGCUCAACCGGGGAGGGUCAUUGGAAACUGGUUGACUUGAGUGCAGAAGAGGAGAGUGGAAUUCCAUGUGUAGCGGUGAAAUGCGUAGAUAUAUGGAGGAACACCAGUGGCGAAGGCGACUCUCUGGUCUGUAACUGACGCUGAGGCUCGAAAGCGUGGGUAGCAAACAGG
RNAcentral lists this ribosomal RNA (429 nucleotides) under Bacteroidota bacterium. RNAcentral's name for it is "Bacteroidetes bacterium partial 16S ribosomal RNA". It matches the Rfam family "Bacterial small subunit ribosomal RNA", at positions 355 to 776 of the family's 1533-position model. Lineage: Bacteria; Pseudomonadati; Bacteroidota. The record is from RNAcentral.